Molecule: long non-coding RNA, 5068 nt
Organism: Numida meleagris (helmeted guineafowl)
Lineage: Eukaryota; Metazoa; Chordata; Aves; Galliformes; Numididae
Exons: 5
Source: RefSeq, a predicted model, not a curated record
CUACACCACCUGUGAAUUCCCAGCACAGAAGAACGAUCUGGUCAAGAAUCCAGCUGUAACACUCCUUUUUGCCCCUCAGUGGACAAGAAAAAACAGCAAACAACACCCCCCCACCACGUAUACUGGAACGAUUUACAGGUUCAGUACAGAUCACUUGGGAUUGAAAAAUCAGCUCGUGUCACACCGGCACCCCGAGAAGCACUGGAUUUACACAAAGCCCCCCAGUGACCGCAGUUAUGCAGCAGGCCAGGCCCGCCAGGCAGUCACCUGACUGCCACUGCAGAUCGCCGCCUACUGCUUACUACAGUAUUUCUGCGCGUUCUCCCGUCCCACUCGCACCCUUCUGAGGGGGGAGGCAGGGCGGCAAGGGUAGGGAGGUAGACGAGCCACGCUACGCUAGAGGCAGAAGGAAUAAAAACGGGGCUGCUCAGCAGCGCCGAGCCGAGGCCGGUAAGUGGGUCGGCAGAGCCAGGGCCGACCGGAGCGGCAGCGCCGUUCUCCGCUCGAACAGAGCGCAAGGCCCCGGCUCCGCCCGCCUUUGUCAGCGGGGCCGGGCGGCACUCGAGCGGCCAGGCCAAGGGAGCGGCUCUGGGGGGUCGGCCGCGGACACGGGGAAAUGGUGUUGUGCAGCUAUGGAACAACAGCUGCUGUCCAGGAGUUGUCAUGCUUAAAGAAGAAACAACAGCAGAGGAAACUGAACAACAAUCUUCUGUUUGUAUCCUAGCCUCCAACCUACUAUGCUAUUGACAGUAGUCACACCAGGUCACCAAGCAAAAUACACAAAUUUGCAAGACACACAUUGACUGAAGGAUUCGCUACUUAUUUCAUGAAUGUUUUCUUCUUCGAUGAAAGAAUACUCCAUAAGACGUGAGUGAGACCUCUGAAUACAAUUGCAUCUUGAAAGAAGUCUAGGGGAAGCCUUUCCAGCAAAAUCCUGGCAGAAAGUGCGCCUAAAGCAGUGAUCAAGGACACAAGUUUUCUGCUGUGUUUGAGAUUUUAUGUGUAAUUAAUAAACAGUUUUGCCUUCAAGGAGAAUCAGUUCCAUUAACAGCUUCUCCUUCAGUGAGCAACCUGUGUUUUCCUAGAUAUCAAGUGACUGCUUGGAUCACGCUUAGCAGAAGUCUGUUACGUAUGGAUAUUUUUUUCAUUUUUUUAAUUGUGUAAUAUCAUGAAGACACGUGCAAUUAGUUUAACAAGAUACACACUGUUGUAACAGUUGUUUCAAUCCUCCCUGAACUUCAUUAUUUUGCAUGGGAUUAUGUUAGGUUGGCAGAUGUGUAGUUACUUGGGUCAUCCAGUUGCUCCAGUGCUUAGCCUGCACACACCGAAUGGAGAGGCACAGCAGUCAAGGUAGCGAAGGUCAGUGGUGUACCCAGCAGUGUUUGCAUGAAUUCCAGCAUACACAGUGUUAGUAUGCUUCUUAUAAAUGCUGGUGGAAUAUCAACUCCAUUAUACUUAACCGAUCAAUAUUUUGAAGCCCUCAGUGAAUUUUUCUUUAAGAUUUCUCCUCUAUUCCUUCAGGUGAGGAAACGCCAAGGAGAAAUUUUUAGGCAUUCUGAGGGUAUUUUGGCUUCAUGAGCCUCUCUCAUCGUGUUGCUUAGACUGAGAUCCCUUAAGGUUAUGUAGUUUUUUCCUGUACCUUCAUUUAGCAGUGGUCAUCUGCACAAGCCAUGUUGUGUGCUUUGUUUUUUAGAAAGCAAACAUAUUUGUUUUGGAGUUGAUCAAGAGAAGAGAAUAAUUAUCUUUGGCAGAGUGACAUUCCUUCUUUUUGCCCACCCAGUCUGUUACAUGUAAUUAUAACCAGUGGUUUUAGCAUUAGCGUCACAGUUUUCCCAUUAAUGUUACAGGCCACUCAAAGGAAGCAAAUGGCAUCUGCAGUAAGCAAAAGAGGCAGUUAGAAUUAAAGCACUGCUCAUGAAAAAUGGACAAUAACACUUUGAAAAUAUUUUAUUGCAUAGAAAUCUUGCUGAAUUGUGAUGCACGGAAAACAUGAUAUCUGCACUUCGAUGAAGUAAUAGGCCAGUCAUCUUCUCCUUGAAUUUAGUAAAAAUUAACUUAAACACCAGCAUAGUACUGUCCUACAUUUUUUUGAGGUAAUCCUCAGAAAGCUCAAGUGGUAAAUGUUUAAGGAAAGACACAGAUUUAUCCAGUUUCUCUACAAACUAAUUGUUUCAUUUUAUUAAGGCAAGCCCUGUUCUUUUCAAACCUCCUAAGUUAAGCUCUGGCACUUAGGCUCAUUUUGGCUGUUUACAUUGGCUUCAUAAACCUUAAGCCUAAACAGAGAAAAAGAAGGAAGGUUUCUUCCCAUGAAACAGCUCCAGAGUGAGAGCACUUAAAUGAAGUGUACUUCCUGCUUCGACAUAAUGAAAUGGAGAGAUCUUAAAAAAACACCAUACACAAAACACCCCACCUAAUUUGCUGUAAAGCUACAGGCAUCUCUAGCAAACAUAGGGCUUGGCUUUCAUAAACUACAAAUAGUGAGAUGAUUGGUUCCUGUGGGGGAUAUUCCUCAUAAUGUUCAUGUGUGCGUAUCUGUUUCAAACUGAGAAGUUUCAGGCAAAGCAGUUGGUUGCUUCUAGGACAGAGCUAACAUUUGUUACGUGACAUGCCCUGGAGAGUGUGAGGGUGGCAAAAGGAGAGAAUGCUGGGCAAGGGAGAGGGAAGAGAGGGAGGCUGAUGUGGCCUUUGCCUGAUUCGUAAUACCUCUGGAAUGGGCUCCAGCAUAUGCCUUCUCCUGAUCUGGGUACUGUCUGGGACAGCGCUGGUUGACAUGAGCCAAAGCUUUUCCAGGACACAUGCUUACAAUUAAGCAUAAUCAGCAAUUAGCAGCUCGGUGCUUAGGCUCCUUGCCAGGCCAUGUUUUUUCUAGUGCUGUAGACAUAGCCCUAGAGACCUUUGGGUGAAAAACAUUGCGCUGUCUGUGAUCGGUGGAGAGCUGUUUAAUUUUAAAGGGUCCCAGACCAGGGUUCCCUAUAGCAGCUUAAGAAAGUUCUGCUUCUGGUUCUUUUCUCCUCCACCACAAUUAGCUGUCUGAGCACGACUGCGUGUGCAGCAGGGAGGCUGAUCUGAAAAAUGGGUUGAGAUCUUUUAGCUGUACCAAAACUGGGCUUGGGCUGAAAUGCAAACAACAUGUAGUAAGAAAUAUUCUUUAAAAAGAAAAAAACUGCAGAAACUCCAGGUGAACAUCCCAGUUACGCAUUAUGUCAAUGUUUUUGUCUUGGUUUCUGGCUUGUAAAAUCACAGAUUCACAGAACCAUAGGGGUUGGAAGAGACCUCUGGAGAUCAUCCAGUCCCCACCCCCUGCUAAAGCAGGUUUCCUACAGCAGGUCACCCAGGUGGGUUUUGAAUAUCUCUAGACAAGGAGACACCACAGUCUCUCUGGGCUGUCUGUUCCAGGGCUCUGUCACUCUGACAGUGAAGAAGUUGUUCCUUGUAUUAGUAUGGAACUUCCCGUGUUCCAGUUUCUCCCUGCUGCCCAUUGUUCUACUGUUGCUCACCAAAAGUAAAAGGGUGAUUAUGUUUCAAAGUCAGCCGUUCUUUGUUCAGAACAGGUUUGAAACACAUGCAAAUAAUGGUGCAUGUUUGACAAUGCGCAGAAAAGCAAAUGUAACAAAUGCACUGCCUCAAAGCUUUUCAGUCAGCUGAGCACACUUGUUCUGAGAAAACCUUGACCACAGUGGGGUCGAUGAAGCUACAGAUUUUAGGGGAAAAAAAAGAGUAUGAAAUAUUCAUAAUCACACAUAAUUCAAUGGCUGUUCAUUGAGGCUUUACAAAUGUGUAACCCCACCCACAAUAAGGAAUGUAUGCAACAUUUAGCUGAUUUCUUGCACUACUUUGCAUUGCUAUGGAGGACAAAGACUGCAGAGGAAGAAGAAGUAAGGUUUGAAGUGCACCUCUGGUACUGCUGAGAACCUCCGGACCUCUUGGCAUGUGAACCUCUUCAGAAACUGUGCUACCCAGAUUGUGCAAUCGAGAUAGCACCAGCGUUUGGAUCCCAACAUGAAGAAAACUUCACCUUGCCUCGUAUUUCCAGCUGAAGGUGGAAAGUUUUCCUUCUGGCCCAGGCUGAUUUCUGGGGUGUUAGCUAAACAUUGCCAAGUUUAUGGACAAACGGAGGUGUUCACAUCUGACAGCAUCAGGUCUGUGCUUCCAGGUGAUCCAGUAGAACAGAUGCUAUAUUCAUUACCACGACUAACAUUGCUUUUACAGGACAAAUGGCAGUUCUCAGAUGAAUUCAUCCCCUUAAAACCGCAGUAUGAAAGAGCUCAUUUCUCCAGCCAGGAGGACAAGAUGUGUAAUAUUUUCUGUGUUAUGAAAACAUAGCAUCUACUAAAAGUUUGUAAAAAUUGAAGCACUCAUUUUUUAUCUGCUCUGUAGUCUGCUGGGAGAUCUAAAAGCAAUAAAUGAAAAGACUGUUAGUACCUCAAGAGGAUAAUGAGAAGUUUUAUCAACCAGGAAAGAAAAGUUUAUAUUGAAGCCCAGUGGAUACCAAUUCCGUGCACGUGAAGAUAGAGCCUGUUUUAAAAAAUGACCAAUAUUUUCCUGAUGGUGGGAAAUAUUCCUUGGAUACUACAACAAUAGGCACAAAGAGAGCAAUUGGAAAACACUUGCCAACUGCUUGUGGUCUAUUUUUCUGUCCUCACUCCACUUGCCUGGGUUGGUUCAAUAAAAGAUGCCUUGAGUCCGUGAGGCCAAAGCUCUGUGUUAUGCUGCUGAAGUAGCAGCUGCCCCCCUGAAGUUCAGACGGCAGCUACUGCUGCAGUUGGUGCACACAGCACCCCUGCUGCAGCAUCAGGCAGCCAGCUUCCAGAUAGAAGAUUCCCUCUCUGCUGGAGUAACAGGAAAAGCCUGAGGAUUCCGUUUCUGAGCCACAUAGAUGCAAAUGUGGUAUUGGAUAAAGCAAACACAAAUGAGCAUUUAUUCAUUUAUUUAUGCUUAGACUGCUAGCAUUCAGUUAAGGCUUGAAAAUGAAAUUAGCUUUAUAUUUACAUGUGGUGUUCAAAUGUAUUUAUUUAAACUUAGAUUCAUGUACUGGGGAAAAGAGGAAUAAAGAUAGCCAAGCACAAUA